GCCUGACUGGCUCAGUGGCUAGAGCAUGUGGCUUUUGAUCUCGGGGUCGUGAGUUUGAGUUCCACGUUGGGUG
Molecule: transfer RNA, 73 nt
Filed under: Felis catus (domestic cat)
Lineage: Eukaryota; Metazoa; Chordata; Mammalia; Carnivora; Felidae
Rfam family: tRNA
About the family: Transfer RNA (tRNA) molecules are approximately 80 nucleotides in length. Their secondary structure includes four short double-helical elements and three loops (D, anti-codon, and T loops).
Source: Rfam by way of RNAcentral